Molecule: long non-coding RNA, 455 nt
Filed under: Mytilus galloprovincialis (Mediterranean mussel)
Lineage: Eukaryota; Metazoa; Mollusca; Bivalvia; Mytilida; Mytilidae
Source: RNAcentral
CAGAAAUAUGGUCAUUGUUAUAUUAUAGUUCGUUUCUGUGUGUGUUACAUUUUAAUGUUGUAUUUCUGUUGUGUCGUAGUUAUCCUCUUAUAUUUUAUGUGUUUCCCUCAGUUUUAGUUUGUAACCCGGAUUUGUUUUUUUCUCAAUCGAUUUAUGAAUUUCGAACAACGGAUACUACUGUUGCCUUUAUUUAUUGCCGGUUAUGUAAAAGAAUUUAGUUGUCAAUAUUCUUACACAUCACAUGCUCUACUUGAUUGUUGGGUUAGUAAAUAGAUCAAUAACCUUGAACUAUAUAUUGGUCAUGUUUGUUUACAAAAUUUUAUUUAUAUAUAGAUUUUAAAUUGUUAACAAAAAGUCGGUCAACAUUCUAGAAAAUAAACUCAUCAUAGAUACCAGGACUAAACUUUGUAUAUACGUCAGACGCGCGUUUCAUCUACAAAAGACUCAGCAGUGAC